AUUGAACGCUGGCGGCAGGCCUAACACAUGCAAGUCGAACGGUAACAGGAAACAGCUUGCUGUUUCGCUGACGAGUGGCGGACGGGUGAGUAAUGUCUGGGAAACUGCCUGAUGGAGGGGGAUAACUACUGGAAACGGUAGCUAAUACCGCAUAACGUCGCAAGACCAAAGAGGGGGACCUUCGGGCCUCUUGCCAUCGGAUGUGCCCAGAUGGGAUUAGCUAGUAGGUGGGGUAACGGCUCACCUAGGCGACGAUCCCUAGCUGGUCUGAGAGGAUGACCAGCCACACUGGAACUGAGACACGGUCCAGACUCCUACGGGAGGCAGCAGUGGGGAAUAUUGCACAAUGGGCGCAAGCCUGAUGCAGCCAUGCCGCGUGUAUGACGAAGGCCUUCGGGUUGUAAAGUACUUUCAGCGGGGAUGAAGGGAGUAAAGUUAAUACCUUUGCUCAUUGACGUUACCCGCAGAAGAAGCACCGGCUAACUCCGUG
RNAcentral lists this ribosomal RNA (490 nucleotides) under uncultured bacterium. RNAcentral's name for it is "partial 16S ribosomal RNA". It matches the Rfam family "Bacterial small subunit ribosomal RNA", at positions 30 to 507 of the family's 1533-position model. The record is from RNAcentral.